UACCAGCACCCCGAGUGGUCGGGACGAUUAUUGGGCCUAAAGCAUCCGUAGCCGGCCUUACAAGUCCUCCGUUAAAUCCAGCUGCUUAACAGAUGGGCUGCGGAGGAUACUAUAAGACUAGGAGGCAGGAGAGGCAAGCGGUACUCAGUGGGUAGGGGUAAAAUCCUUUGAUCCAUUGAAGACCACCAGUGGCGAAGGCGGCUUGCCAGAACGCGCUCGACGGUGAGGGAUGAAAGCUGGGGGAGCAAACCGG
Molecule: ribosomal RNA, 253 nt
Filed under: uncultured bacterium
Lineage: Bacteria
Description: partial 16S ribosomal RNA
Rfam family: Archaeal small subunit ribosomal RNA
Source: RNAcentral